CAGAUAGAGACUGAAUGGUUAAGUGCUCCAAUUGGGCUGGAGACCAAGUUAGUUCGAUUCUAGCCUAUUUGA
RNAcentral lists this transfer RNA (72 nucleotides) under Eremothecium sinecaudum. RNAcentral's name for it is "tRNA-Pro". The record is from RNAcentral. Lineage: Eukaryota; Fungi; Ascomycota; Saccharomycetes; Saccharomycetales; Saccharomycetaceae.